RNAcentral lists this ribosomal RNA (422 nucleotides) under uncultured bacterium. Its description in RNAcentral is "bacterial SSU rRNA". It matches the Rfam family "Bacterial small subunit ribosomal RNA", at positions 355 to 774 of the family's 1533-position model. The record is from RNAcentral.
UAAGGAAUAUUGGGCAAUGGUCGAAAGACUGACCCAGCCAUGCCGCGUGCAGGAUGAAGGCCCUAUGGGUUGUAAACUGCUUUUAGCCGGGAAUAAACACCCGUUUUAUAACGGGCCCGAAGGUACCGGCUGAAUAAGCAUCGGCUAACUCCGUGCCAGCAGCCGCGGUAAUACGGAGGAUGCAAGCGUUAUCCGGAUUCACUGGGUUUAAAGGGUGCGCAGGCGGACAUUUAAGUCAGGGGUGAAAUCCUACAGCUUAACUGUAGAACUGCCCUUGAUACUGAAUGCCUAGAGUAAAGCUGAAGUGGGCGGAAUGUGUUGUGUAGCGGUGAAAUGCUUAGAUAUAACACAGAACACCAAUCGCGAAGGCAGCUCACUAAACUUUAACUGACGCUCAUGCACGAAAGCGUGGGGAGCAAACA